UCCAUCGGUGUCCGCUUCUCGCAGAUCUUUGCAUCGAUGUGGCCGGCCAAUGGAGUACUCCCAAGUGGUAGGCAACUCGUCGAUCUACAGUAUAGAGUCCAACAUUUGGGACUUGCUUGUUUCAGCGCCCCCUCUUCAGUUAUUGAUCUCUUUCCUGGGCCCUUGUUGUUGUGGAAUAAUGUGCGACAUUGGCUGCAAGCUAGCGCAACCAGACUGUUUUUGCCUGGCUCGUCAUCGAAGCAGCGACCUCUCUACAUCGCAUCCAGUUCCAGACCGCGCUGUCGUCAGACCGGCGAACAUGUCGUCCUCCCUGUUCUUGGCCCACAGCACCACGUACAGUCCAGCGAACAUUACAAUCUUCAUAGUCAUGUUGCCCAGAAGCUCUCAAAUUUUCUUGGUAUUUCUGUUGGAGCCAUUAACAUUUUUAAAGCAAGUUGUAUUAUUGAGCAUGCCAAAAACUGUGAUCUAGAGUAAUUCCUUGUUAGAAACUGUGAUCUAGAGUAAUUCCUUGUUCCAUUUUGAUUUUUAUUUCCAGCAAUAAAGGCACUGACUACUAGUAUUUUGUGCACUGUAGUAUUCCUUGAGCUAUUGAUCUGUCAACAAUAGGAAAUUCCUUGAGCUGAAUACUAGACGCAAAGCACCUGACCUAACGAAAGUUAAAUACUCCUAAAUACUAGACACAAAGCACCUAGACUAAGUCCAGAACACUCUUGUUGCAUUCAUACAAUACAGCAUGCAGACCAGUGUGGGGUGCUCUUAUGUCUGUUUUAUCCUGUUACUUCCAACAUAUCUCACAAGCUGGAUGUACAAGAGCAUGAUAUCUUCAGUCAGUCUGGUGAAAUUAUCACUACUAAGCUAUCUUAGUUCUUUGGUCUUGGUACCUAAUGCAUGGAUCUGCUAUGCCUCAAUUGAAAAUUAAUUAAUUUUCUAGCUAGCUAAAGUUGAUUGGAAAUUAAUUAAUAUAGUGUUGCUUCCUAUGGCAAUUGUGUAGGUCAUGUGUGACCUGCUUGGU
Molecule: unclassified non-coding RNA, 1012 nt
Filed under: Zea mays
Lineage: Eukaryota; Viridiplantae; Streptophyta; Magnoliopsida; Poales; Poaceae
Description: misc RNA Zm00001eb115080
Source: RNAcentral